RNAcentral lists this small nucleolar RNA (116 nucleotides) under Echinops telfairi (small Madagascar hedgehog). RNAcentral's name for it is "Small nucleolar RNA SNORA61 (ENSETEG00000025875.1)". The record is from RNAcentral. Lineage: Eukaryota; Metazoa; Chordata; Mammalia; Afrosoricida; Tenrecidae.
AGUCUCCAAGUCCCCAGUAACUCUAAACACUGGUCGGAGUGGUUACCAAAGGAGGAAAGGUACCAUUGAAACGGUCUUUAGCGCUUUAGUAGCAUAUGGACUCGUUUCAAACAAAC